This 1211-nucleotide non-coding RNA is filed under the name Cavia porcellus (domestic guinea pig). Its description in RNAcentral is "Bacterial large subunit ribosomal RNA". It matches the Rfam family "Bacterial large subunit ribosomal RNA", at positions 505 to 2547 of the family's 2925-position model. Lineage: Eukaryota; Metazoa; Chordata; Mammalia; Rodentia; Caviidae. The record is from Rfam by way of RNAcentral.
ACGGGAAAGAUGAAAGACAAGAGUCAAUAAUUUAAAAAAAGGAUAGAUUACCCCUACUACCUUUUGUAUAAUGAAUUAACUAGAACAAACUUGGCAAAGCGGACUAAAGCCAAUCACCCCGAAACCAAACGAGCUACUUUCAAACAGCUAACAGAGCAAACUCGUCUAUAUGGCAAAAUAGUAAGAAGAUUUGAGAGUAGAGGUGAAAAGCCAGCCGAGCUUGGUGAUAGCUGGUUAUCCAAAUAAGAAUCUUAGUUCAGCUUUAAGUUUUUCCAAAAUAUUACCAAAUUUAAUGAAAACUUAAAACUUAAUUUAAAGAGGGAGAGCUCUUUAAAACAAGGAAACAACCUUCAACAGUGGGUAAAAAACAAAGCCUUCAUAGUUGGCCUAAAAGCAGCCAUCAAUUGAGAAAGAGUUCAAGCUCAACAAACUAUACAACUUUUAAUAACAACAAAAUUCAAUGAACCCCUGAUUAACAAUUGGAUUAAUCUAUAAAUAUGUAGAAGAGAUAAUGUUAAUAUUAGUAACAAGAAAUAAUUCUCCCUGCACAAGCUUAAAUCAAAUAUACGUUUGAUUAACUCAAUAAGACAAGACACCUCAUUAGUAUUCUUAUUAAGCUAAUUGUUAAUCCGACAUAGGAGUGCUGCUCGGGAAAGACAAAAAGCAAAAGGAACUCGGUAAACAUAAAUCCUGCCUGUUUACCAAAAACAUCACCUCUAGCAUCCCCAGUAUUAGAGGCAUUGCCUGCCCAGUGACAUCAGUUCAAGGGCUGCGGUAUCCUGACUGGGCAAAGGUAGCAUAAUCACUUGUUCUUUAAAUAAGGACUCAUAUGAAUGGCUAGACAAGGGUUUAACUGUCUCUUGCUUUAUGGCAGUGAAAUUGAUCUUCCUGUGAAGAAGCGGGAAUAACAUAAUAAGACGAGAAGACCCUAUGGAGCUUUAAUUUAUUAGCCUACUCAACCCACCUAUAACCCGCAAGGGCAUAAAACACAUGAAACCUAGGCUAAUAAUUUUGGUUGGGGUGACCUCGGAUAAUAGUAAAACCUCCGAGUGAUAUUAACCUAGAUCCAACAAACCAAAGUUUACAUCAUCAAUUGAUCCAAAACUCCUUUUGACCAACGGACCAAGUUACCCUAGGGAUAACAGCGCAAUCCUAUUUUAGAGUUCAUAUCAACCAGAUCGGUUUCUAUCUAUUAUAAAUUUCUCCCAGUA